This is a long non-coding RNA of Diceros bicornis minor, 1718 nucleotides long. RefSeq lists it as uncharacterized. The transcript is spliced from 3 exons. The record is from RefSeq and is a predicted model, not a curated record. NCBI's taxonomy places the organism in Eukaryota, Metazoa, Chordata, Mammalia, Perissodactyla, Rhinocerotidae.
AAAUACUUAGUAUUUAAUUUUUUUAUGCCAGGAAACUAGCAUUCAGGUUAAUCUCCAGGAAGCACUUGAGAAAUGAAUCAUUCUAGAAUCUGAUUUUUAUAACUUGUGUGAUAAUCAACAUUAAGGAAAUAUGCACAUAAUUACUUCUGACUUGUGUUAACUUUCCAGUUAAUGAUGUGAUGUGCACAAUUUAUGGUCAAAGGAAGAACUAAACACUGAAGCAAAUAGAUCUCACAAUUAAGCUGAGGCUCUCCGGUGCUUCCCAAGAAUUCUCAAGUUAACACCAAAAUGAACAAUGGAAAUGUUUGUAUGAAGCGCAUCCAUGUUGGAGUGAGACCAGGGCCUUCUCAUGAGCUAAACAGAAUGUGUUAGAACCUCUAUAGACUAAGCAAGUUCUGAAAUUUUAUCUUCCUCUGAGCCUUUCCACAGGAGCCAACGUGAGGGGCAGAUGCUCCGUAGCACAAGCCUCGUCUUUUCCUCCUCCCGUGACCACCUGCUUCCUGCCUCAGCACUUGGAUCUGCCUCACAGCCCAGCUGUUUCCUCUGUUCCAGGCCCCAUGGCUCUCUCAGUCAUGGCACAAGUGCUGUGUGAGCAGUGACCCUUGUGGCUUCCCUGUCAUCGUCCAGCUGCCUUCAGCCUGAGCACUGACUUUAACAGAUUCCCCUCACAUUUCUGCUGUCAGCCUGAGGCCAGACUUCACAACUUCCCUCGUCCAUUUCGCUGGCCUCCUGCCUCGGUUAGGAGCUUCAGAGAUUCUCGAACACGCCCCAUCUGCCCGCUGAUGCCUCCCAGUUUAAUGGCUGCCCUACUCCUUGGGAUUCUCUUCCGCAGAGGAGGACAUGAAGUGUAGAGGGCUUCUCCAACAUACAGUUGACAAUGUUGUUCAACGAAGCUUCAAAUUAAUUUGAAUUUUGUGAAAAUAAGCAUUAAAAUAUGCCUACAUCACACUUAAGUCAGAUGCAAAGGUUAUCUCGCAGCAGGCUUAGAAGACAAGCAUAAUCAGAGAUAGGUAGCAUAAUUACAGUAGGAAAAGCACUACAAUAAGAACCGAAAUAUGCCAGGGGAGUGGAUCUCUAAUUUCUCCCUAACUUUAACAACACUUCUGGCCUCGGGAAGUCACUUUGCUGAUCCGGGUCUCAAAUGCCUCGUUAAUAAAAUGUAAAUUGUAAGAUUUUGUCCACCUAAGGACCAUGGCCUUGGCCAGGUAAAAGUUUAAAUUAAAUUCACUUCAUUAUAAAAGUAAGAUAAAAAUAGGUAAUACUUAAAAUUCGACAACAUUUAAUUCUGUUAAAAACAGAACAUUUUAUGUUAAGUAGUAAUGUGAAAACAAUACUUGAAAAUAUAGAAAACAAGAAACAAAUCUUUUAAUAUGAUUGUUGGCAUUUUUAAGUAUAUUUCUUUUUGUGGGUACACGUAGAUAUAUAUUCUCUUUCUUUCUCUUUCCCUCUCCCUCGCUCUCACAUGCACAACACUGUGUACUUCUAAUUACCCUCUGCUUUUUCACUUAUAUUAUAAUUUAUGUCAUAAUUUAAAGUAGAUUUUGUUGUAAGUAUAGUUUCAUUUUAUUUCAGUCUUUAUCUUAGUGUUAAAUUAUUCUAUUCUAUUCUAUUCACAAUUCUCUUAUCUUUUGAUUUAAAUUUCUGGUUUCCAUAAAUAAAGUUACAAUCAUAGACACAUUAAGUAUUUAUUAUGUUCCAGGUUCUGUUAAAAUUAUUUG